RNAcentral lists this ribosomal RNA (638 nucleotides) under uncultured bacterium. RNAcentral's name for it is "bacterial SSU rRNA". It matches the Rfam family "Bacterial small subunit ribosomal RNA", at positions 54 to 692 of the family's 1533-position model. The record is from RNAcentral.
CAUGCAAGUCGAACGAAGCGCUUAAAUGGAUUUCUUCGGAUUGAAGUUUUUGUGACUGAGUGGCGGACGGGUGAGUAACGCGUGGGUAACCUGCCUCAUACAGGGGGAUAACAGUUAGAAAUGACUGCUAAUACCGCAUAAGCGCACAGUGCUGCAUGGCACAGUGUGAAAAACUCCGGUGGUAUGAGAUGGACCCGCGUCUGAUUAGCUGGUUGGUGGGGUAACGGCCUACCAAGGCGACGAUCAGUAGCCGGCCUGAGAGGGUGAACGGCCACAUUGGGACUGAGACACGGCCCAAACUCCUACGGGAGGCAGCAGUGGGGAAUAUUGCACAAUGGGGGAAACCCUGAUGCAGCGACGCCGCGUGAGCGAAGAAGUAUUUCGGUAUGUAAAGCUCUAUCAGCAGGGAAGAAAAUGACGGUACCUGACUAAGAAGCACCGGCUAAAUACGUGCCAGCAGCCGCGGUAAUACGUAUGGUGCAAGCGUUAUCCGGAUUUACUGGGUGUAAAGGGAGCGUAGACGGUUGUGUAAGUCUGAUGUGAAAGCCCGGGGCUCAACCCCGGGACUGCAUUGGAAACUAUGUAACUAGAGUGCCGGAGAGGUAAGCGGAAUUCCUAGUGUAGCGGUGAAAUGCGUA